Non-coding RNA from Paramarasmius palmivorus, 101 nucleotides. NCBI's taxonomy places the organism in Eukaryota, Fungi, Basidiomycota, Agaricomycetes, Agaricales, Marasmiaceae. The record is from the annotation of a GenBank genome assembly.
GGGCACAUGGUGUAGUUGGUUAUCACAUCCGCUUAGCAUAGGAGAAGCAUUGGAUCCACAAGCUUGCGGGGGGUGCUGGGUUCAAUUUCCCAGUGUGUCCA